Molecule: non-coding RNA, 30 nt
Filed under: Mus musculus (house mouse)
Lineage: Eukaryota; Metazoa; Chordata; Mammalia; Rodentia; Muridae
Source: RNAcentral
UAAAAGCAAGUGAAUAAUAACCCUCGCCCA